RNAcentral lists this long non-coding RNA (4210 nucleotides) under Marmota monax (woodchuck). The record is from RNAcentral. Lineage: Eukaryota; Metazoa; Chordata; Mammalia; Rodentia; Sciuridae.
GCGUAACUGCAGCAGGGAGCGAGGCCGGGCAGGAAGCUAGGCACCAGCCCAGAGAGAGACGCAGCAGCAGCAAAGGUGGGGACAAGCGGUGGGAUCAUGGGUUUUGUUGUUGGGCUGAGCGGACGCCCUCUGGAGCGAAGAUGCAAAGGGAGAGAAAUGAAGAAAGACGAGAAGGACCCGAGGUGUGUGGCCCGAGCGACUGCAGGGAGAGACCCCCAAGAUCUAGAAGACUGUGGGAGCUGGUGCUGGGGGAGCCAGGAGGUCAGACCGGGAAGGAAGUCCUGCCAGAUGUCAAGCAGGCGGCCGGAUCUCGGAGAUGUCAACGUGAGCAUGGUCAGUGCAGAGCAAAUGUAUCAAAGCCCUGACCUUGGACGAGACCACCAAGGACAGCAAAGACAGAGGAACUGACAGCCACGGGCUGGCGCUGGGCUGAGGGCCCUGGCUCUGCACUGGGCUGCGAGGAGGAGAUCCGAUUUCCGUCCUCAGGGAGCUGGCAUCUCGCGCACAGAUCCGGGGGCUGGACGCCGAGGAGGCUGCUGAGUCCGAGCCGGACAGGCCUGGGCUUCAACCUCCCACUCCCCUGGCACCUUUACCUGCUGCGCGACUGUCUUUGGGCCCCAGUGUCCUCCUCCAUGACACUGCAGAGGAGCUGCCGAGAGCAGAGACGUGCCUGGCACAGCGGGGAGCCGGUGGCCUGCACUAGUCAGGGCUGCUCACGCAGGCCCCCAAGCCCCAGCUCCGCAGCCGCCUGUGCCAUAGUGUCCCUCGCCUCCCUCGCCCAGGGCCCAGGCUUCCUCCAUGGCAGCUGGUGCCUCUGUGGGCCGAGGACGUCUGGAGGCAAGGUCAAGGCCACUCUGUCCCUUGGAGUAAUUGAAGAUGACAACAGUAUUUUGUGUCUCAUGGAGACGGGUGGAGAUCAAAGUGGCUUUGUGCCGCCACUGCGACAGGCAGGAAUUCCCCGGCAAAUGCCACCAAUGACCGAAAAUUGGCUGCAGUUGUGGCCGGGAGAGGGCCACUUCUGACACGGGUGUGAGGUGGCCCACGGCAGGACUGGCGGGAGGGCAGAGAAUGCCAAGGGGCUACACUUAUCACGAUAGAGACUUCAGGCCGACUUCUGGCCCCGAGACAAGCGGAGGGGAGUCUGGGAAAUGUCUCUGGGAACAAAGACGCAGAGGGCCUUGAAAACCACGAAGGCGGAGACCAGCAGGUACUCACCGUGGCACAAGGGCUCCGCGUCACACCGGCCACAGCCAGGUCUUGGCAGAGGUGCCCAUCUGGACGCCGCUCAGAGGCCACCACCCUAAUCGAUGUGUCAGGGGGAGGCCCUCGUUUUGGGGAAGGGAACAAAGCAAAGGGGACUUUGGCAGGAAGCAGGACCCGGAGCCAAGCUCAAGUGCCCUGCUGGUGUCUGGAGCCUGGCGGUGACCCCAGAGUGACAUGGGCUGCCAUGAGACCCCCAGCAGACACCAGGACCCCCAGCCGGGCCUCUGUUCCCUCACACCCCUCAAGUCUGUGCAGGAGGGAUGGGAAGGAACUGGCCCCUCACAGACCGUGGGAUCCAGUCAAUAUGGCACCUAAUUAAGUAAACAAGGAGCUGGCUUCAGGAACUCCUCUGCCUUUGCUUUAAAAAAAUAUGUGAUGGAUUGAAGGCUAAAAUAGCAAGAGUAGUUUGCUGACAGGAAAAUCAAGUUAUCCCAUUAGUGACAUCCAAAGAAGGCGCGUGGUCCCACACAGCUUCUGUACUGAGCCUCUGCGGGAUGGAUUCCAAGCUCAGCUUCAACACAGGGACUCCACGCGGGCGCCACAGCCAGUGUGUUCUCGUCACCAGGCCUUUGCUGAUGCCCACAGCCCACUCAGAAGGCUCUGCCUGUGGCAGGCCACCCCCAGGCCAGUCCUGUGGCACCGUGGGACCAGCUCAGGCCUGCGAGCCUGGUGAUGUAGAUCCUCAUCUUGACUCUGCCCCUCAUCAGCGUGAUGACCCUAGGCAAUCACUUCCUGGGUCAGAGUUUGGUGGGUGUGUGCCACGGAAACGGAUCUGGUUAACUUACCAGGGAGGGGCAGGCCCAAGAGCGUCUCAGAUGGAGCAGGCUCCGAAGGCAGGAUAAGGCUGCCUGGCACAGGGUCCUGCAGGAGGGUCUUCCACUCCUUCUACAUCCUUGUCGGGGACCAAUCAGCCUCUGCCCUUGUUGGUGCUUCUGUUCCUCUGCUAGAGAUGGAGCCUCUGGGGAUGGAGGGAGAGCCUUUGAUAAGCUGAGCUGGGUCCCAGAUUCACCUCUUGGCUCUUGGAUUGACAGUCCCACCAGUUAAACUAAAGAAGAGGCCAUUCCUCCAAUCAAAGUCAGGAUUCUUGUUUCAGAGGAGUGGGGAUCGGUGUCAAGCAGGAAAAGUCAAGAUGCUUUCCUUCUGUGGGGACUCAGUCUCCUCUGUGGAGUGGAGACAAUGAUCUGUAUCAUGGUGCGGAUCUGGGGCCAGUGUGUGCCUGUCUAAGGGCAGAAGGUCCCGCCUGUAAGGUGUCCCUCGUGCAGUGAGAGCCUCCCUUGGGUCCAGGACUGUGUGGUCCUGAAGUUGGAACCGGACAAGGACUAGAUGUCUGAGGCUGCUGGUCUGAGCCCAGAGGUGUUCCCUUCCCCAAGGGAAGAGGGGCGACUUGUGGGCGUUGGUUGUCAUUUAGUCCCCACUGGUGCUCUUGGGAGCAACACCUUAGGAAAGCUAAAAUUUUCCACUGUUGUGGGCACCAGGGGGUCAACUCAGUUCACGGGCUGAAGUCCAAUCCCAGCAAGCAGAGUCCUCUGGGGCCACCAGCCCUCCGUGGGGCCCUGUGGAAUUCCUCAGGUGCCUUACGCUCUCCAGGUCCUACACAUGGUCUGCUUUGUCUCUGAGUUGAAUUACUUGGAUUCACUUGAAGUCAUUUGGGGGUGAACAAGACACCAGAGGCUGGGACAUGGCCUCCCUCCUGCUCUUCCAGAGAAGUAUGAGGAUUUAAUUUUUGCUUUUCUUUAAAAAUAAUGGUUCUGAAGGCCACGGGACGUGUACAAUCAAAGGGAAAUCACAGGCAGCAUGAGCAGAGCGCUAGGUUCCCAGAGGCCCAUCGGCCACCUGCAGGAAGCAGAUCUUCUCACCGGCAGCUGCUGCCAGAAACCCUUACGGGCUGAGGAACGACGUGGAGGAGAAUUAGCAAGACCCCUGCCUCCUCGCCUGGGAUCCGUCACUCUAUUUAGCAGCAUUUAAGAAACAAUCCCCGGUCAUUGCUGAUUAGGAGGGACAUGGAUUUUAAUGGGGAGUGUGACCAAGCUGUGGCCACAUGGCCUGGCUGGAAGAGGUCGCCCUUUCUCAGGACAUCUGCAGCUGGGAGUCAGCCUUUGCUGCUGAGUGGUGACCUCUGUCCCUCCACAGAGCCUGGGGUGGUGCUGGCAAAGGCACCCUGCGUAGGAGGAGCCCAUUAGUAUGGGAUUGUGGUCAGGAAAGGGGCUCUAGAUUUUUCUGGAACUGAGGCCCUAAACACUAAAACCUUGGGGUAUAUGAUGAACCACAGAGUCCCCUCGCGUGAUGUGCUCCCGUGUGCUAGUCACAAGUGUGCAUCUUCAGUAACGGAGCAAGCGUGGGUGCGUGCAAAUCGCUAGCUGUAAAAGCAAAGUGGGACCUUUGGUGGAGGUCCACUCUUCCAUGGUGGCGAGGUCUGCGCCGACUUCCUUACCAAAGACCUGCUGCUGCUGCUGCUGCUGCUGGGUAGGAAGAGGGACUCGCACAUGUGCACGGGUGGGGUGACCCGGCAUGGCCUCGUGUGCAAAGCUGGCAUCUGCAACUUGGGCACGUCAGGUGGCCUCUCCUGCAGCUCACUUGGGCUCUUCACCUGAUGGUCUCAGAAUCCCAAAAGCCACCAAAGUGGACAGAAGUCUGCAUGCACAAGGGCUUUUUAGGCCCCCAUAUGUGUCCCUUUUGCUAAUGUCCACUGGCUGAAGUAAGUCAUGUGGCCAAGAGAGAACCACAGCCCCUGCCCUUCUCCCCACGGCGCGUACCCCACUGUGGUGGGUGGAUUCCAUGCUGAACUGUCCUUAUCUUUCUCUCCUGCUUCCCCGGACACUGCGUAUGUGUGGACCGGUGUGGGCUCACCCGUGCCCAGCACAGUGCCUGGUACCAGCGGGUGCUGAUGAGCAUUGGUGAGGGAGGUCAGGAGAGGAGAGGAAAGAAUGAACCCGGGGAGAGGGAGGGA